CUCUUGGGAAGCAGCAAUCUCUGAAAAGCUUUUCAAUGUAAUCUGUGGCCUCUGAAGAAUGUCCAAAAACUAUUUACCAGUUUGUUAAAGUGAUGAAAGAAAUCAUCUUUUCGUGAGUUGGCCAGUGAAAACAUUUUUGAAAAUUCUUGCAAGAAAUACUUACAUAUGAAUGAGUUCACCACAGAGACAAAUGCUACAGUUCUGUAUGUAGAAUGUAAAAGGCAUAAUAACUUUCACAUUACACUCACACUGAAAGUCCUGUCUGCAAGUUCGCAUUCUAAGAGAGGAAGAGUUAAGCAAAUCAAGGAGUAUACAGGCAAUUACAUAUUACAAUUUGGUUUUAUUGUCUAGGAAUGCUGGGGGGCAGGUGUUGUAGUGAGAUCUAUAAACCACUUUAAAGAGAUGAGUUGUGUUGUAAUAUUUUAAGAUAGACAGGGAACACUGAAUUGGAGAUUCUAUAGCCCUGAGUUCAACAUAUAUAGACAAGCCAAGGCAAAGUAUUUUAAGCAGGAGAUGGAGGAUUUGGAAAUAUCCUGAAUUUAG
Pelobates cultripes (western spadefoot toad) is the source of this 543-nucleotide non-coding RNA. NCBI's taxonomy places the organism in Eukaryota, Metazoa, Chordata, Amphibia, Anura, Pelobatidae. The record is from the annotation of a GenBank genome assembly.